Molecule: ribosomal RNA, 399 nt
Filed under: Anthocoris miyamotoi
Lineage: Eukaryota; Metazoa; Arthropoda; Insecta; Hemiptera; Anthocoridae
Description: partial 16S ribosomal RNA
Source: RNAcentral
GCCGCAGUAUUUUAACUGUGCAAAGGUAGCAUGAUCAUUUGCCUUUUAAUUGGAGGCUUGUAUGAAUGGUCGGAUGAGAAAUUAACUUUCUUUAUUUUAUUUUAAAUAAUUUUAUUUAUUAGUUAAAAAGCUAAUAUGUUUUUAUUAGACGAGAAGACCCUAUAGAACUUUAUAUUUAUUUUUAUUAUUUAUUUUUAGUUUAUUUUUUUUAAUAUAAAUAUUUAUUUUGUUGGGGUGACAUAUAAAUUUAUUUAACUUUAUUUUAUUUUAUAUCAUUAAUGUAUGUUUUUUUGAUCCAUUUUUAUGAUUAUAAUUUUAAGUUACCUUAGGGAUAACAGCGUAAUUUUAUUGGAGAGUUCUUAUUUAUAAUAAAGUUUGCGACCUCGAUGUUGGAUUAAA